Molecule: transfer RNA, 77 nt
Filed under: Parafannyhessea umbonata
Lineage: Bacteria; Bacillati; Actinomycetota; Coriobacteriia; Coriobacteriales; Atopobiaceae
Also listed under: 9 other names
Description: Olsenella umbonata tRNA_Pro_TGG
Rfam family: tRNA
About the family: Transfer RNA (tRNA) molecules are approximately 80 nucleotides in length. Their secondary structure includes four short double-helical elements and three loops (D, anti-codon, and T loops).
Source: RNAcentral
CGGGGUGUGGCGCAGUUUGGUAGCGCAUCUGCUUUGGGAGCAGAGGGUCGCUGGUUCGAAUCCAGUCACCCCGACCA